Grus americana (Whooping crane) is the source of this 3173-nucleotide long non-coding RNA. RefSeq lists it as uncharacterized. The record is from RefSeq and is a predicted model, not a curated record. The transcript is spliced from 2 exons. Lineage: Eukaryota; Metazoa; Chordata; Aves; Gruiformes; Gruidae.
CUCUGACUCUCAGCGGUCCUCAAGCAGUUCACAGUUCCGAUAGGGUGCCCGACAUUGGUUACGUUACGCCGUCGCCGGUAGGGCUGAAGAGGAAAUCUAGAAGGGCUGAAGCACAGCUUCGCACUUAGCUGCACCCAGCGCCAUUAUGCAACACGGCCAGGGAACAUUAAAGCGCUUCCAGAACAACUUCUUUCCUUAGCUUUUUGGGGCAUGCGGCACGUUUUGUGUUUCUUGGCCACGUAAACACUUUAGCAAAUAGCUCACAGAGCCAGAAAGAUUAGACAAACCCACGGGACGAGUAACGAAGCUACCAUCGGGAUAACGAACAACCGGUAGCAGUAACAGAACACCGCUGCUUACGCAUUUUAUUGCCAAGAGCCAAGAGACCAAUACAACAUCAGAAACUUUAAGGCAAGCUACCUGUCAUGGUUACUGUGUGAGCUCCAGAAAGGUCUGUAGGACUGUUGGUAAUACAUAAUUUGGGUAUAAAACUUUCUGACAAGCUUCUGUGCUGUCAUAUAUUGUGGUGCUUCUGCUAGUGAGCAGGGCAACUAUUGCUUUGCCUUCCUGCAAAGGAGUCUUAGAGGUAAAAUAUAUAAAAGGGCUGCAAAGAGAACAAUGGAGAAUCAACUUUGCGAUAUGAACAGGAACUUCGUAGCAGCUGCAGUGAAAUGACCAAACAUGUUUUGUUGAAUGUAAAUGUCAGUGACAUCUGAAUUUAGUUCUGAAAAAUGAUAAGGUGACUAAGUCACACACUCACUUUAGUUAUCUUUCAUUCUGCAUGUACUUUUUACUGGAGUGUUAGUGUAAAAUAGUUCAGUUAUUCCAGCAAUAUGAUUAAAGUUGCUGUCUAUUGAGAAGAAAUAAUUUUCACAUUCAUUAUGAAAAUAGCGUGUUUCUGUUCUAAUUUUGACAAGCAGCAUGUAAAAUAAAUUGAGAGCAGUAUAAAUAUAUAUUGCAACCUAACUGAAACUGCAGUGAGCAUUGAACAUGGGAGCUUCCUAUGGCUUCCACUCAUCCCUCCUGGCCAUGCCUGCAGAGAUUUUUAUGUCUUUUGGGACAAAGCCCAAGGGUCUCCUACUGGGAUCAGGGCUUGAUUCACAGGAUCUCUUGUGAUUUCACUAGAUACCUGGCAUUAUUUGAACUCAGAUUUUCCUUUUUGUAAUUCUUGUGGGUUAUGAAAUGUCCUUGUUUCAGCUGAGGUAGAGUUAAUUUUCUUUCUAGUAGCUGGUAUAGAUGCCCACGCUCCCAAGAGUGGGGCCACCGAGGAACAUCAAACCAACCAGGAGGUGGAUCAGGCUGCUAAGAUUGAAGUGGCCCAGGUGGAUCUAGACUGGCAACACAAGGGUGAAUUAUAUAUAGCUUGCUGGGCCCAUGACACCUCAGGCCAUCAGGGAAGAGAUGCAACAUAUAGAUGGGCACGUGAUUGAGGGGUGGACUUGACCGUGAACGCUAUCUCACAGGUUAUCCAUGACUGUGAAACAUGCACUGCAAUCAAGCAAGCCAAGCGGUUAAAGCCUCUGUGGUAUGGAGGACAAUGGCUGAAAUAUAAAUAUGGGGAGGCCUGGCAAAUUGAUUACAUCACACUCCCACAAACCCGCCAAGGCAAGCACUAUGUACUUACAGUGGUGGAAGCAACCACCGGAUGGCUGGAAACAUAUCCCAUGCCCCAUGCCACCACCUGGAACACUAUCCAGGGCCUUGAAAAGCAAGUCCUGUGGUGACAUGGCACCCCAGAAAGAAUUGAGUCAGACAACAGGCUUUACUUCUGAAACAACCUCACAGAUAGCUGGGCCAAAGAGCGCAGCAUUGAGUGGGUGUAUCACAUCCCCUGUUGUGCACCAGCCUCUGGGAAAAUCAAUCGAUACAAUGGACCGCUAAAGACUACACUGAGAGCAAUGGGUGGUGGGACCCUCAAACAUUGGGUUACACAUCUAACAAAGACCACCUGGAUAGUUAACUCUAGGGGAUCUACCAAUCAAGCUGGCCCUGCCCAAUCACAACUUCCACGUACUGCAGAAGGAGAUCAAGUCCCCGUAGUGCACAUGCAGAACCUGUUAGGGAAGACAGUCUGGGUCAGCUCUGCCUCAGGCAAAGGCAAAGCCAUCCAUGGGAUUGCUUUUGCUCAAGGACCUGGUGCACUCAGUGGGUGAUGCAGAAGGAUGGGGAAGUCUGAUGUGUAGCUCAGGGGGAUUUGAUUUUGAGUGAGAAUAGCCAAUGAUUUAAAUUGUACGAUGUUAAUUGCUACAGAAUACUGCAUGUCAUCACUAUUAUGCUUGAUAUGUGCCAUAUCAACAGUAUUACAGUAAGAAUCACCCACAUUAAUGAAGACUGAACUUUGAUGAAACCGAGCAAAGUGCCGCGAUGAGGGAACUAGAACUGACUUCAGCAACCGGUGCCCGGCAACUUCCUUGAAAUUGACAUUUCCAACCUGCAGACCAUGGGCAUGGGCCGCCAACAGAUACACCAGCCGCGAGCUCUGGAUGUAGCAUGCAACAAUCCAACAGCACACACCAUCGCUCCCGCCCUGAGAGACUGUAAUGGCAGAUGGAGCCCAAAGUCAUGAACUAAAGGAACUCAACGGACAUUUUAGAGGGAUGGCCCGUAGAGUAAGGGAAUGAUAUCUGUGUGUACAUAUCAAAAGACAGGAAAAGUGAUGGUGAUUAAUUGGCAUGUAUUGGGAAAUAUAGUACCUGGGCAUGACAUAGAUGGUAUGGAAUAAGGGGUGGAUAAUGUCCUGGUUUUGGCUGGGAUAGAGGUAAUUUUCUUCCUAGUAGCUGGUAUAGUGCUGUGUUUUGGAUUUAGGAUGAGAACAGUGUCGAUAACACACUGAUAUUUUAGUUGUUGGCAAGCAGUCAAGGGCUUUUCAGCUUCUCAUACUGGCCUGCCCACGAGGAGGUUGGGGGCACCCAAGAAACUAGGAGGGGAUGCAGCCAGGACAGCUGACCCAAACUGGCCAAAGGGAUAUUCCGUACCGUAUGAUGUCAUGCUCAGCAUAUAACUUGGGGGUGGGCCAGGAGGUGACACCGCUCAAGAACUAACUGAGCAUUGGUUUCAGGUGGUGAACAACUGUGCUGUGCAUCACUUAUUUUGUAUAUAUCAUCAUCAUCAUCAUCAUCAUCAUCAUCAUCAUCAUCUUUCUUUUCUGUCCUAUUAAAGUGUCUUUAUCUUAA